GGAACUGAUUUACAAGGUUUUAUAAGGUAUUUUGACUAGUAUUCUAACAGUAGUAAUUCCACAUUUACAAAGCUCUCCAGGAAAAAUCAUCUUAUUAAUCUAUAUACUUUUGUUUGUUAGGCACUCACUGAUUUAAAAUCUGACAACCAGCGCCUGAAGGAUGAAAAUGGAGCCUUGAUCCGGGUGAUCAGCAAACUCUCUAAAUGACUCAUUGGGCAGUUAUAGAGAAUGGAAUUUCACGAGUGAGAACACUGUGUGCCCCCUUAAUCAAACCGUGAUUGGCCCCUGUACAGCCAUCAAGUCACUGACUGUGGAUCUGCCAAUGUGAAAUGUACACUCCAUGUUAUUUUGUACAUAUAUUUGUUUGUAUAUCGGAGAAAAGAGAAGGAAUCUAUUAAAAGAUUGGUACAGUGCACAUCCCAUAUUUACAUUUGCUAGUUACAUUCUCAACCAAAAAUGUAUUUUUAUUGCAGCCUAAAGCGCAUGUCAGCCAAAUACAGAGGGAAUAAAAACAGAAUAAGGGACAGCGCUAAUAGGGCAUGAAGAGUAUAAAAAGAGUGUAGGCAGCACACCUAUAGGUAGAGGGGUCCCCUCUUAUCCCAUCAAAAUGAAUAAGAUGAACAGAAUAACAAAAAGGAAGGGUGCGCCUUAAGAAAAUAAUAUUAUUGUAAUAAUGGUAUAUGUGACAUAUGUAAUAAAUAAAUAAAUAAAGAAUAGUCCAAAUAACUUAACAUUAAUCCAUGUAGCGUUGUCCGCCAACAAUGGAAAAAGUCCUUUUACAGAGGGAAUGCAUACAUCAUUAAGGCAAUAUUUAUUUAUGUCAGUGUUUCUAGUAUUGCAGGAAUUCCACCCUUUCCUAUUGUAUUGCAAAAAUAGUGAUUUUUGUACUAGUGUGUUCAUCUUGAACAAAUCCCAAGUGUUAUGGUAAUUUAAAGGGACACCAAAACAUCUUUAGCAUAAUGAAGCAGUUUGGGUGUAUAGAUCAUGCCUCUAAAGUUUCACUGCUCAAUUUAUUGCCAUUAACCCCUUAAUGACCGAGGACGGUUCAGGACCGUCAUCGGCAUUUUUUCCAUUGACGACCGGUGACGGUCUUGAACUGUCCUAACAGUCUUAUGUACUUAUCCAAUAGCCAUCGUUCCCCCGGCGGCGAUCGGUGGUGCUCCCAGUGUGGGGAGACUGCCUGCAGCCCAGACAGUCUCCGAUGGCGGAUUAGGACCCCUGUGGCCAUGUGAACGCUCAACAGAGCAGUCACAUGGUCACAAUAGGUGUCCAUGUGUCUGCCUGUAGGGGGACUGUCUGUGCUGACAGGCAGUCUUCCUGCUAGUGUAAAAC
This is a non-coding RNA of Pelobates cultripes (western spadefoot toad), 1332 nucleotides long. The record is from the annotation of a GenBank genome assembly. NCBI's taxonomy places the organism in Eukaryota, Metazoa, Chordata, Amphibia, Anura, Pelobatidae.